CAAUCUCCCCAUCCACCGGCGAGCACCCUUGGCCGCUUCCUCCUCGACCUCUGCCACAUCGAGUGUCGGCUUCCUUCCCCGACCCAAGUCACCGCUCCCAGACAACCUCCGCCGCGCCCCCAACACUGCCUCCCGACACUUUCUCUCCGAGCAGCACCGCGGCCAGCUCCCCCGCCAUCGUCUACUUGCUCGCUUCCUCAAGCAGCGCCGACUCAUCCAGGAGCUCCUCCCGUCAGCAGCACCUCCUCCUCUAGGAGUCUCCACUACGAACCAGUCCUCCACCAAAUUGUUUGUUUGUUCUAUGAGCAGCGUGCAUCUUCUUUGUCCUCUCCACCAAGCAGUGUCGACUGCGCC
This 354-nucleotide ribosomal RNA is filed under the name Triticum aestivum (bread wheat). RNAcentral describes it as "partial small subunit ribosomal RNA". The record is from RNAcentral. Lineage: Eukaryota; Viridiplantae; Streptophyta; Magnoliopsida; Poales; Poaceae.